CACCAGUUUUUCCUGGUGUUUAAAAUCAUUCUCCUUAUGUACAGAAGCUUUAGUCCUAAGGGGCAGAAACUAUGAGUUUGAUUCCAACUUGCAGGCCUGCUGCACCUUACUAGAUGUUAUUUCCUUCUCUUUCCUAGUUUCUUACUCUAUCCACUGUCCGAUCCUCUCAAAAAAGCAUAAAAUCCCCAAAUGAACAAACAAACAAAGAAAAGGUUAAAUAACAGUGAAAGCACACUUGUAUAAUGUUUAGUUUUUUUUUAGAUGUUAUAUGUCAGUGCUGUACAGAUCACGUCAGUCCUGCUUUGAGCAACUCUUCAGAGUGCUUCUCAAGAAGGCUUCACAUUUAAAUAUCGACUCCUAUUUUCUAACUUUCAAUAUGUAGCUGCAAGCCUAUUUUUUUUAUAAUAAAGCAGCUCUAGCAGAGAAAUGCUGGUAGAGUAUUUGCUUGACAUGAAGAAGCACUGAUUUAACAAUAACCAUAUUUGGUGAAGUGGGUGAAAUUAGAUUUCCUUGCUGCACAAAAAAUACAAAAGUCAGGAGUGUAUGGUCACCUCCUCUCAUUGAAUUUGCACUGAUGUGACUGGAGAGAAUUAAAAGUAGUUUAAUUACAUUUUACAGUUAGAGUUUGUGUAUUACGUGUACCCACAUUUUCAGGAGCAGUUUUCUGGAAAAACUUGGAAUAAGCAUAACUUGACUGUCAGGGAGUCCUUUCAUUUUCACGUCUCUUAACAACAAGAUGGAUCUGAAUGUUUUUCUGUGUUCAUCUCCAUGAAUUAAAAGUGGUUGCAGA
Molecule: non-coding RNA, 790 nt
Organism: Xyrichtys novacula (pearly razorfish)
Lineage: Eukaryota; Metazoa; Chordata; Actinopteri; Labriformes; Labridae
Source: the annotation of a GenBank genome assembly